Molecule: transfer RNA, 86 nt
Filed under: Ruminococcus sp.
Lineage: Bacteria; Bacillati; Bacillota; Clostridia; Eubacteriales; Oscillospiraceae
Description: tRNA-Tyr
Rfam family: tRNA
About the family: Transfer RNA (tRNA) molecules are approximately 80 nucleotides in length. Their secondary structure includes four short double-helical elements and three loops (D, anti-codon, and T loops).
Source: RNAcentral
GGGAGAAUUCCCGAGUGGCCAAAGGGGGCAGACUGUAAAUCUGUUGCUUUUACGCUUCGGUGGUUCGAAUCCACCUUCUCCCACCA